CCUACGGGAGGCAGCAGUAGGGAAUCUUGGACAAUGGGCGCAAGCCUGAUCCAGCCAUGCCGCGUGAGUGAAGAAGGCCUUAGGGUCGUAAAGCUCUUUCGCCUGUGAUGAUAAUGACAGUAGCAGGUAAAGAAACCCCGGCUAACUCCGUGCCAGCAGCCGCGGUAAUACGGAGGGGGUUAGCGUUGUUCGGAAUUACUGGGCGUAAAGCGCGCGUAGGCGGAUUGGAAAGUUGGGGGUGAAAUCCCAGGGCUCAACCCUGGAACUGCCUCCAAAACUCCCAGUCUAGAGUUCGAGAGAGGUGAGUGGAAUUCCAAGUGUAGAGGUGAAAUUCGUAGAUAUUUGGAGGAACACCAGUGGCGAAGGCGGCUCACUGGCUCGAUACUGACGCUGAGGUGCGAAAGUGUGGGGAGCAAACAGGAUUAGAUACCCUGGUAGUCCACACCGUAAACGAUGAAUGCCAGUCGUCGGGUAGUAUACUAUUCGGUGACACACCUAACGGAUUAAGCAUUCCGCCUGGGGAGUACGGUCGCAAGAUUAAAACUCAAAGGAAUUGACGG
This 560-nucleotide ribosomal RNA is filed under the name uncultured bacterium. RNAcentral describes it as "bacterial SSU rRNA". It matches the Rfam family "Bacterial small subunit ribosomal RNA", at positions 338 to 916 of the family's 1533-position model. The record is from RNAcentral.